Molecule: long non-coding RNA, 1791 nt
Organism: Cyprinus carpio carpio
Lineage: Eukaryota; Metazoa; Chordata; Actinopteri; Cypriniformes; Cyprinidae
Source: Ensembl
GUGGGGGAGGGGAGAAUGAUGAUGACUCUGAGUCUGGAAUUUCCCCGCAGUCUCAUUUUUAUAUAAGAAGUUGUUGAAAUAAACCCGCCUUGGGGGGAAGAUAACGAAUCAAACUGACUGACAACUGACUGAGUGUUUAUGCUGCUCUACUGACCUCUCUCCACACUGCUCUCGCUCUCUGAACAGACUUUUCAGCUGUAACACAGAAAGGAGACACAAACAAGCACAAACAGGAAGUAAAUACUAUAACACUUGUUCUGAUGAAGUGUUUAGGAGUGUUACUAUGCACACGGUGCAGCACCUGCUCGGUGACCAGCCUCCUCUGUUGGUUCGGAUCUACAAGACAAACAUCAGUCAGUACCUGCUGGGGAGGUUCAAGAUCCUGCAGGUCUCGUUCCCGCUCAAGCGUUUCUGCUCGCCUUCUGCUUUCUGGAGCCAAAACAUAAAAACCAAAAGCUGCUCCAGCCUCUGGACCUCACCGCUCUGUUGUGACUCCUGCACAAAAAAAAUCAUAUCUCUGUUAUGGCAUCAGUCAUCCAAGAGGACACAGAUCUCUGGCAGGUUUGCAGGUCCCACCUGAUGGCGAGCAGACCGCAGCUCCUGUAGCUGUUCCUCCAGCUCAGUGUCUCUGAUCCUCAGCAUGUCCCUCACCUUCAGCAGCUCCGCCUUCACCUGCACCAACUCUCCAUCCACGACUUCAAGAGACACCUUGGACGUGACAUUUUUAACGUUGACAUUGUGACCAAACAGCUCUUUAAAUGCAUAUUAUAUAUUUAUUCAUGAGGGACUUUUUGACUACAUACAGAGCUACCCAUGAGUCUCUCCUGCACUUGGCUUGGGUCCCUCUCAGGCUCUAUCUGUUGUGAAAUUUCAGGCUCUCGCUGUAAGACAACGUAAAGAGACAAUAAUAUACAACACAGUAACACUACACUUGACAAAUGGUCACAUUAGACCAAUGAAAGGAAACAAAAGUUACGUUGUCAUUCACUCGUUGUUGACUCUUGAGCUCAUCGAGUUCUGCUUGCGUCGAGCAUAACGUCAUCGCCACAUCCAGCCACCUCUCAUUCCAGUGAGCAGCCAGUUUCCUCAACUCCUCCUUUUCCUGCUCAAACCCCGCCCUCAUUUGCUGUUGCUCCUCCUCUUUAUGCUUAUACCCCGCCUCCGAGAUUUGGACUUUUUUUUCCAGGUCUUGACAUUUUAAUUGCAGCGUCUGAUUUUCUUGUUCUAGAUUGUCCUGCCGUUCUCUGUAUAUAUGGAAUUAAUAACCUGGAUCAGAGCCAAAAAUAAUCUGCACAAUCAAUAUUAAUAAUCAUUUCCAGGCAACACUGAAGUUCGACCUGUGCUGGCAGCAUCUCUCUCCCAGCUCUAUCAUCUUCUCAUGAAGUCCAUCAUCAAAUGUUUUCCUCAGUUCCUCUUUCUCUCCUAUCAGCUGCAAGCGCUCAGUCUCCAGUGCCGCAAUCUGAUUGGUUUGGAUCAGUUUCUCCGCCUCCAGCUCGUGUAGCUGGUUAAGAGUCACCUGUAGUCGCUCUGUAGCUUUGGUCAGAUCAGAUGACAGCUUUUCGUUCAACUGAAAUUCCAAAGUAUUCAGAAAAAGGUUGUUCAGAACAAUUCAGAACAAACUAAAAAAAUAAAAGGGUUUUAUUGAAAGCCAAUCAAAUAACUUUUUUUUUUUAAAUAUAAUUAUAUAAUAUUUAUAAUAUUAAUGUUAUUAUUUUCUAAUGCUAUGACUUUAAACAGUCUUUAAAAUAAUAUAAUUUCACCUGAUAAUAUAAUAUAAUAUAAUAUAAUAUA